Long non-coding RNA from Lycium ferocissimum, 905 nucleotides. RefSeq lists it as uncharacterized. Lineage: Eukaryota; Viridiplantae; Streptophyta; Magnoliopsida; Solanales; Solanaceae. The transcript is spliced from 3 exons. The record is from RefSeq and is a predicted model, not a curated record.
UCUAGGGAAACUCCACUUCAAGGUCAUCGAGCUAAGUUGAAGCUCAACUUUAGCUGAAUGUCUUCCGUUCACCUCAAUUUCACACAGUAUCAGCUUAGAUUCAUUGACUCUUUCAAAUCCUUUGAUCUGCCAACCAUGUAUUCUUCCUCAUCUGCUUGAUUCAUGUGAUUUAAUGUGAAGUCUUGGAAUAUUUAUAAUUUUCCCCUUUGUACCCUGUUAAUUGAUGUGCCGCAAGAUUCAUUACCUGUUGCUCUUGAUUUGAGUUUUUUUCUGAAUGACGAACCCCUCUCUGUGGUGUGUUGUAUUCCUAGCUUCAGCGUUCACCUGAGGUUUUUAGUCUCAAGUAGUCUAAAAUAUUGAUUGUACGAUUUGUGUAUGUUGAUUAAGUAACUCUGCUGUAACCUGUAGUCGACCCCAUUUAUAUGUCCCUCAAAGCUCUCACCAGAGACAUGGUUACUAACUACCUUGAGAAUUUCUCUAAGCUCUGCCAGUUUGAUAAAAUAAUCAAGAGGUUGACUUUUGGACCCGAAUCCUUUUAUGAUUAUUUGAGUAUCCUUAGGUUCGUACUUUGACAUGGAAUUUAUGCUUGUUAAACUUCGACCAUUCGGAAGCACUCGCAUCCGCCCCUUCAAUGGCGUGAGGGAUUGUGGUGCCCGCUCCGCUUUGAGAUUGUGAUCCUUGCUUCGGCGUUUAGCCUCGUGACUGAUCUCGAGGCGGUCUAUUUCGAGAUUACAGGAUGAGCCAUCAGACAGCUGCAGCCCUGGAUCUCCUCCUAUCUUGAUUUGCCUAUUUAGAUUUCCGGACAGUUUCAAUUUGUAUUUCGGACUUGUACUAUUUAGAAGCACUUGUAUGAAUUAGACCAGAUUUUGGAGUUUUAAAGACUAUAGUAUCAUUUCCGCACUUAU